Molecule: non-coding RNA, 147 nt
Organism: Drosophila melanogaster (fruit fly)
Lineage: Eukaryota; Metazoa; Arthropoda; Insecta; Diptera; Drosophilidae
Source: Ensembl
GGACUUUCCACUUUUCGUUUGGCUGGCCUGGAAAAGCUCUCUUUCUCUAUUGCCUCUAUGGCUCGGCAGCGCUGGGCGCCUAAUCCGAAUUGCGAGAAAGAUCCGCUUUUCGAGCCAAAAACCAUCGAAAAGCCUGGCAAGCACACA